ACUCCCUACGGGAGGCAGCAGUGGGGAAUAUUGCACAAUGGGGAAAACCCUGAUGCAGCCAUGCCGCGUGUGUGAAGAAGGCCUUCGGGUUGUAAAGCACUUUCAGUAGGGAGGAAGGUAGUGUAGUUAACACCUGCACUAUUUGACGUUACCUACAGAAGAAGCACCGGCUAACUCCGUGCCAGCAGCCGCGGUAAUACGGAGGGUGCGAGCGUUAAUCGGAAUUACUGGGCGUAAAGCGCAUGCAGGCGGCCUGUUAAGUCAGANGUGAAAGCCCGGGGCUUAACCUCGGAAUUGCAUUUGAAA
RNAcentral lists this ribosomal RNA (306 nucleotides) under uncultured bacterium. RNAcentral's name for it is "bacterial SSU rRNA". It matches the Rfam family "Bacterial small subunit ribosomal RNA", at positions 335 to 632 of the family's 1533-position model. The record is from RNAcentral.